AAACCAUUCUCCUUUGUUCUGUCACUAUCUGCCUGUGUACAAAUGCAAGAACAGUGUUCCCUUGUGCUGAAAUCACACAGAGAGGAAACCACCCUUUACGUGACAUAUUGGUGGGUUUUCAUUCUAUUUUUUUAAUAACAUUUACUGAAGAAAUAAAAUACUUGGGGUUUCUAAAAGGUUAAAAAUGGUGUUGCAAAUGCCAUGACUCAAACAUUUUUUUCUCAAGACCAAAGUAACAGUAAUUGAUCAGAGAGACAGAUAGCAUCUGAUGUUAAAAUCUUUCCAACCUCAGUUACAAAAAUAGCACCAGAAAGUUAUCACACGUAGAGCUGCAACAUAGGUACAGUUUACAUCACCUAAAAGAUCAAAGCUGAACGAUGUAGGGCUGAAGGUGGUGCAGUCCAGCUGCUCAGUAACAGCUAUUUCUAAGAUCAAGUCAACCACAGCUUCUCAGUGUUUCCACUGCCUCCCUUAAGCCAAUCAGUGUAACACACCAGCAGAUGCAAGCGAUGGAACACUUUGCAGCUCUAGAUUUUUAUGGCUUCCUCUCCCUGACAUAUAUAAGAGGGUGUGCCAAAUUUUGGGAGGAGCUCAGCUCUAGACACAGGAGGAGGGCUGGUAAUGGUAAGAGACCGUGUCACCUGUGCCUCUACUAUGUGCUACAGAUUGCCUUUUUAGCAUAAAAUACUUUUGGACUGCAUGUAAAUUGUAGCUCAGGCACCAUUAAUGAAGGACCAGAAAGCCAUUCUGCCCUUCCAUUAGAGCUUUUAAGUGCUGUAUUUCUACACGUAGAUCAAGAACCACUUCUUAGAAUGAUUCUUAGCCCUAGAGAAAGAAAGUCAGCAAACUAGAUAUUUUUUAUUUAUUUUUAUUUUUUUAAGAGAUGGAAAAGGUGCACUUUUUUCUCAGUGGCUGGGCUAUUUGGGACUCUGACACUCAGAUUCUGAUAACCUCUCUAUUUACAUAAACAGGUUCUUGUUCUGUAUUCCAAAAGAAAAUUCAAAUGUGGAUGACUUGGACAGUUCAAUUUCUAGUUCACCAAAAAAUCUCUGAAUUCUGUGGAUUCGCCACGGUCCUGAUAUUCACCUUGUUCUUCCUCAGGAAAGCGGCAGCUGCAGGUGUCAUCUUCCUGAAUUGACUGUUCAGGUGUGAUAUGCACUGAAGAAAAAGAAAAGAAUCACAGAAUCAACUAGGACCUCUAAUGCUCUGUUUGCCAUAGCAAUGAAAGGAAGACAACAUGGAGAAGUUAGAUUUUUGGACUGCUAUUGUCUCCCGUAUUCAGAAUUACACUAGAAGAUUAGGACCUUAUCCCUAGGACAGGGGAGAAGAAGAGAGAGAGAGACAACCCCUCAGAAAACCAAACAAGCCAACUACAAACUACGUUGAAUGCAAUUACACUCCAUCUUUGUGCUGAACUCUUGAGCUUCCUCAGCGUUUAUUAGCUCUCAGAGGGCAGUGUUGGAUUCAGGCUGCCUCUGCACCUGUGUAGCAGCACAUCCUGACUGAUAUCUCCUCUUCUACCACAGCCAGAGCUCCAAGGCGCUCACUCCAGGCCAUGUGUACUGUUUCUAAGCAGAGAGCACUCGAAAGUGUUAUAGCCACGGAUGCCAAGGAUGGUACUUGAAAGUAAUAAACUGAACUGACCCUUGACAGGAUCAGCAAGGCUCAGGUGAGCUUUUUCACCUCCCACGACUACUUCACUUGAAGGGAUAAGGAAGCAGUUUACAGAACACCCACAGUUAAGUAAGUGCCUUCUGCAGUAAAAAUUCCAGAACUGUUUUCCCUUCAGUUGUUUCUGACUUACGAGGCCAAAAAAACCGAAGCUAUUGCAACUGUCUUUAAAAGACAAUUAACCUGGAUUCCUGACUUCUCUCUAGUUUCUUAAAGAAAACUGAAGAGUGCAUUUAUCUUACUUUUUUUGAAGACAGCGUGUAGUUUCUUUUUCUGCCAGACACCGAAGCAUAUGCACAAAGGUAGCAGGAACACUAUGCACAACAGCCCAGCUACGGUGAGAAAAAUCCUGAUAAUGUCUGUCUGGAGAUCCUUCCCUAGGAAUUAAACAACAUUCUCUUAAGAGUUUUAACAGAAAAAAAUUCUACUGCCCUUGAAUUAGCCGACAGCUUUGUCUCCCACUCUGCUUCUAGCUAAGUCUGCAACACUGGAAAUGCAUAGAAGAAAGGACUCUUGCUUUAAAUGGAAAGUGAACGUAUGUUUCAAAGUAGGUCACAAUUCUUUAGCUCUAUAAGCAGCAUUGUACAAUGACUCACCUGGCCCAGUGAUAGAAAAUGGAAUUGCAAGUGAUGUGGUAGGUAGAGUAGUGGCUAAAGUGGGAUUAACUGAAGCGUGUUUGCAAAUGACAUCUUUUUCUGCAGUUCCAGGCUCCAGGAUCUGGUUUGUAGAGCACCUGAAAGACAUUUACAGCAGAACAGGGAAAAGAAAAAAAGCUACAGAAAAAAAUCCAGUAAAGUGUAAUAGCUGUAGCAUUUAGAUUACAUACUUUGUCCAGUUUUUACAGGAGCCAUUGGGCUGAUCAUUAAAAGUUCCAUACUGGCAAGUCUGGCAACCUUCAACAGACAAGGACAGGUAAAUUUGUACAAGAUAAACAUUUAAAACACAA
Molecule: long non-coding RNA, 2617 nt
Organism: Pipra filicauda (Wire-tailed manakin)
Lineage: Eukaryota; Metazoa; Chordata; Aves; Passeriformes; Pipridae
Exons: 2
Source: RefSeq, a predicted model, not a curated record